AUUCCAAAACAUACCAUUCAACCAUUCAAUUCCAUACCUAUUGUCAAUUCCAUACCAUUCCAAUCAUUCAACCAUUCAAUUCCAUGUAUUUUUUUUACAUAUCAUUCAAUAACCUAUUGUAGCGAUAAUAACCUAUUGGAGAAGUUCUAACCAGGACGCUUGUUGCUAACUUUCCAAGCUGAUGAUCGAAAGUUGGCAGCUUUCGAAAUCCAAACUUUUGCCUAAAUCCAAACAAAGAAUUAUAUGUUUAGACAGACGUUUAGUCAAAGUACUUAACUUGGUUUUAAUAUAAA
RNAcentral lists this long non-coding RNA (293 nucleotides) under Zostera marina. Its description in RNAcentral is "long non-coding RNA (ZMAR_LNC005716)". Lineage: Eukaryota; Viridiplantae; Streptophyta; Magnoliopsida; Alismatales; Zosteraceae. The record is from RNAcentral.